GGAGUUAGCCGGUGCUUCUUCUGCGAGUAACGUCACAGAUGUAAGGUAUUAACUUACACCCUUUCCUCCUCGCUGAAAGUGCUUUACAACCCGAAGGCCUUCUUCACACACGCGGCAUGGCUGCAUCACGGGUUUCCCCCAUUGUGCAAUACUUCCCCACUGCUGCCUCCCGUAGGAGUCUGGGCCGUGUCUCAGUCCCAGUGUGGCUGAUCAUCCUCUCAGACCAGCUAGGGAUCGUCGCCUAGGUGAGCCUUUACCUCACCUACUAGCUAAUCCCACCUGGGCUUAUCCAUCAGCGCAAGGCCCGAAGGUCCCCUGCUUUCCCCCGUAGGGCGUAUGCGGUAUUAGCAGUCGUUUCCAACUGUUAUCCCCCACAAAUGGGCAAAUUCCCAGGCAUUACUCACCCGUCCGCCGCUCGUCAUCUUCAAAAGCAAGCUUUUGAAAUGUUACCGCUCGACUUGCAUGUGUUAGGCCUGCCGCCAGCGUUCAAUCUGAACCAAGAUCAAAUUCUGA
RNAcentral lists this ribosomal RNA (513 nucleotides) under uncultured bacterium. RNAcentral's name for it is "partial 16S ribosomal RNA". The record is from RNAcentral.